UGGAGAAUUUUGGACAAUGGGCGCAAGCCUGAUCCAGCAAUGCCGCGUGCAGGAUGAAGGCCUUCGGGUUGUAAACUGCUUUUGUACGGAGCGAAAAGGUCUGCCCUAAUACGGUGGGCUCAUGACGGUACCGUAAGAAUAAGCACCGGCUAACUACGUGCCAGCAGCCGCGGUAAUACGUAGGGUGCAAGCGUUAAUCGGAAUUACUGGGCGUAAAGCGUGCGCAGGCGGUUAUGUAAGACAGUUGUGAAAUCCCCGGGCUCAACCUGGGACCUGCAUUUGUGACUGUAUAGCUAGAGUACGGUAGAGGGGGAUGGAAUUCCGCGUGUAGCAGUGAAAUGCGUAGAUAUGCGGAGGAACACCGAUGGCGAAGGCAAUCCCCUGGACCUGUGCUGACGCUCAUGCACGAAAGCGUGGGGAGCAAACA
RNAcentral lists this ribosomal RNA (427 nucleotides) under uncultured bacterium. RNAcentral's name for it is "bacterial SSU rRNA". It matches the Rfam family "Bacterial small subunit ribosomal RNA", at positions 355 to 774 of the family's 1533-position model. The record is from RNAcentral.